AUGCUACUGCAGCUUGAUGCUAAACUCGUGGGAUUGUGGACCAUAUUUGGAACAUGGAACCAGGAUAUUUUCACUCAUACAGGACUGAAAUUGUUGAUAUUAUGUGAUGAUGCUGAGGAUGUGAAAACGAAGCGUGUUGUUUGCAGGAGCAGGAAAGUUGUAACGACGUUUUCUCAAUUUACUAGGCAAGUUUACCAUGUCGUUUUGUCUUCCAAUUUUGCUAAAAUAAUUUAA
Non-coding RNA from Vicia faba (fava bean), 234 nucleotides. The record is from the annotation of a GenBank genome assembly. Lineage: Eukaryota; Viridiplantae; Streptophyta; Magnoliopsida; Fabales; Fabaceae.